AGAGUUUGAUCCUGGCUCAGGAUGAACGCUAGCGGCAGGCUUAACACAUGCAAGUCGAGGGGCAGCAUGCGUGUUAGCAAUAACAUGUGAUGGCGACCGGCGCAAGGGUGCGUAACGCGUGAGCAACUUGCCCUUAUCAGGGGGAUAACCGUUGGAAACGACGACUAAUACCCCAUGGUGAUAUAUUCAGGCAUCUUUAUAUAUCUAAAGAACUUCGGAUAAGGAUAGGCUCGCGUGACAUUAGCUAGAUGGUGAGGUAACGGCUCACCAUGGCGACGAUGUCUAGGGGUUCUGAGAGGAAGGUCCCCCACACUGGAACUGAGACACGGUCCAGACUCCUACGGGAGGCAGCAGUGAGGAAUAUUGGUCAAUGGUUGGGAGACUGAACCAGCCAUGCCGCGUGAAGGUCACGGCCCUAUGGGUCUUCAACUUCUUUUGUAAGGGAGCAAUAAGGAUCACGUGUGGUCUGAUGAGAGUACCUUACGAAUAAGCAUCGGCUAACUCCGUGCCAGCAGCCGCGGUAAUACGGGGGAUGCAAGCGUUAUCCGGAUUUAUUGGGUUUAAAGGGUGCGUAGGCGGUUUGUUAAGUCAGCGGUGAAAUUUAGGGGCUCAACCUCUACCGUGCCGUUGAUACUGGCAGGCUUGAAUGCGGAUGCCGUGGGAGGAAUGUGUGGUGUAGCGGUGAAAUGCAUAGAUAUCACACAGAACUCCGAUUGCGAAGGCAGCAUGCCGGCAUCUAUCUGACGCUGAGGCACGAAAGCGUGGGGAUCGAACAGGAUUAGAUACCCUGGUAGUCCACGCAGUAAACGAUGAAUGCUAGAUGUUCGAUAGGAUUGACUAUUGAGUGUCACAGCGAAAGCGUUAAGCAUUCCACCUGGGGAGUACGCCGGCAACGGUGAAACUCAAAGGAAUUGACGGGGGCCCGCACAAGCGGAGGAACAUGUGGUUUAAUUCGAUGAUACGCGAGGAACCUUACCCGGGCUCAAACGACAGGGGAAUAUGCGUGAAAGCGCAUAGCUAGCAAUAGUCGCUGUCGAGGUGCUGCAUGGUUGUCGUCAGCUCGUGCCGUGAGGUGUCGGCUUAAGUGCCAUAACGAGCGCAACCCCUGCCUUCAGUUGCUAACAGGAAAGCUGAGGACUCUGGAGGGACUGCCGGCGCAAGCCGUGAGGAAGGAUGGGAUGACGUCAAAUCAGCACGGCCCUUACGUCCGGGGCGACACACGUGUUACAAUGGUCGGCACAGCGGGAAGCCAUAUGGUGACAUAGAGCGGAACCCGAAAGCCGGUCUCAGUUCGGAUCGGAGUCUGCAACUCGACUCCGUGAAGCUGGAUUCGCUAGUAAUCGCGCAUCAGCCAUGGCGCGGUGAAUACGUUCCCGGGCCUUGUACACACCGCCCGUCA
Molecule: ribosomal RNA, 1399 nt
Filed under: uncultured bacterium
Lineage: Bacteria
Description: 16S ribosomal RNA
Rfam family: Bacterial small subunit ribosomal RNA
Source: RNAcentral